UUUCUACCCGGCAUGCAUCUCGCGGUGAUCGAUUCUGCGCAGAUUUAGCUAAUCUCAUACACAAGCCUAAUAAAGAAAAUAACUUUGAACUCUUCCGCAUAAUGGAGUCAGUCAUAAAAACGAAUCAAGGAGAUACUAAAUGGGAUAUACGCCAUAAAGUAUGGAACUACAUUGAAGUGAAAAACCUGGCCAGUUUCCCUCGACCUGUGCACAACAGAAUUCCCAAUUUCAAGGUAAGAAAAAGCAUUGC
This is a long non-coding RNA of Sinocyclocheilus grahami, 250 nucleotides long. RefSeq lists it as uncharacterized. The record is from RefSeq and is a predicted model, not a curated record. NCBI's taxonomy places the organism in Eukaryota, Metazoa, Chordata, Actinopteri, Cypriniformes, Cyprinidae. The transcript has 3 exons.